This 3118-nucleotide long non-coding RNA is filed under the name Salmo salar (Atlantic salmon). RNAcentral describes it as "lncRNA (ENSSSAG00000003954.2)". Lineage: Eukaryota; Metazoa; Chordata; Actinopteri; Salmoniformes; Salmonidae. The record is from RNAcentral.
AGCAGACGGAACAGACAGAGAACAAAGAGAGUCUAUGGAGGGGACAAUGAACUAGGGGAAACUAGGCCUUGGAGAACUGAGAUUUGGGUCUGAGAUGAGAGACUAACUUGAUAAGAAACUUCACAUACUCAUAUGGAUAAUGGCACUGCUUCAGUCACACGGGUUAUCAAUACUCCUGUUGAUAAUCAGAACACAGCGCGCUGGAGCUGAGUCUUGUUCUCAUGUAGAGGCGCCACAAUUCAUCACAGCUACUCAGGAAGAGGUAGCUGUUCUCCCCUGUUUCACAUCAACUCACAGAGAUUUAGAAACCAGAGUGAAAUGGACAAAACUUUCACCUAAACCUGAGGACAUCUUGGUGUGGCCUGAUGAUCCAUCUGUGGCCCAUAAGUCAGAACGUGUGGCCUUCGAGUCGGGAGCGGAUGGUGUGGUGGCUGGAAACCUGUCCCUGUCUCUAAGAGAUAUAAGGAAAUCUGAUGAAGGGCUUUAUAGCUGCAAGGUCUGGCAGGGAUGGAGUUGUGUCAUGGUGAAAAACAUCACUCUAAAAGUGAAAGAAUGCAAAAUCCUACAUUCAGUUAUGGCAGCACCCAAUGGAAUAGCUACCCUGCCUUGCCUGUUGAACAUGACAACAGGAAAGCCCCAAAUAUCUUCGGUGUCCUGGGCAGAGAUCAAGGGAGACAGUGAGAUCCAAAUACUUCAAUACCCUACAGAUAUCUCCAACCAAACAUUCCUAGGAAAAAGGGUGAGCUUUAGAGGAAAUCUCAGUUCAGGAGAUGCAUCUUUGGCUCUCUCCAUGGUGGAGUACAGUCACAGCCAAUGGUACAGAUGUAGGUUGCAGAUGGGACAAAAUGAACGCUGCUUUGAGGUCAAGCUACAGGUUAAAGAACAGGAAGAGGAGAACCUGGUUCUAAGGACUUCCACCACAACUGAACUAGCAAACCCUGCAGUUACUGCCAGUCAGAGUCCAGAAAGAGAUGCGACCGCUACGGCUGGAACGGCUACUAUAGUGGCUUCAUCCAUGUGUGUGAUUGUCAUAAUGGCUCUUACGCUGGGCUUGAUCAUCUUCCUCAGACGCCGCAGACACUCAGAUGAAGAUGAGUCUGACUGGAAUACUUAUGAAGAUGUACAAGACCCAGCAAUGGGACCCAAUUUUCUGUAUUCACUUGCAGAGUUUGACCAGAAGGACGACCUAUGCACUUGACCUGAGCCCUAGGACCAUGCCUCAGGACUACCUGGUAUGAUGACUCCUUGCUGUCCCCAGUCCACCUGGCCGUGCUGCUGCUCCAGUUUCAACUGUUCUGCCUGCAGCUAUGGAACCCUGACCUGUUCACCGGACGUGCUUGUUGCACCCUCGACAACUACUAUGAUUAUUAUUAUUUGACCAUACUGGUCAUUUAUGAACAUUUUAACAUUUUAACAUUUUGACCAUGUUCUGUUAUAAUAUCCACCCUGCACAGCCAGAAGAGGACUGGCCACCCCUCAUAGCCUGGUUCCUCUCUAGGUUUCUUCCUAGGUUUUUGGCCUUUCUAGGGAGUUUUUCCUAGGGAGUUUUUCCUAGCCACCGUGCUUCUUUCACAUGCUUUGCUUGCUGUUUGGGGUUUUAGGCUGGGUUUCUGUACAGCACUUUGAGAAUAUCAGCUGAUGUACGAAGGGCUAUAUAAAAAUAAAUUUGAAAAUUUGAUUAGAUCCGCGUCAUAGCGCGAUUGACAUUUAAAGGCAAUGCUACCUGGUUCGCGGAGAUAGCACUCAUGGUAAAAUGCAUAUGUCAGCUCAAUCGAAAAUGACCUUUAAAUAUCAAGCACGCUAAAAUGCGGAUCUUUCGCGAUCUGGUUUGAAUCUAGCUUCUGGUCACUGUCUGAGUCCAGGUUAAAAUGCUGUUUCUAACAACUUCAGUUCUGUAAUCAAUUAACAUUUAAUUAAAAUGUAUUUAUUUUUAUUUCUUUCAGUUCAAUACCAGUCAAAAGAAUAAUCAUCUUUCAAUCAACACACCAUGUCUUACUUAACCAUACACAAAACAUCUGUAAAUGCUUUUUUAAUGAUAUUCACACACUUAUCUUUCAACCCCUGGUAGAGCCUACAUAGUAUUACACAAUAACACUCUUAGUUGUGAAAUAAUCAAAUGGAUUAGGUGACCUUUUGUAUUUAGCUUGAUUUGAUUGGACAUAUUCCUUUAUUUGUGACCCCAUGGUGGAACAACUUGUGUUGAUGCUUUUCUACACCACAGGAUGUUUGUAUUCUUGUAUUUAGCUUGAAUUGAUUGGAUAUAUUCCUUUAUUUGUGACCCCACGGUGGAACAACUUGUGUUGAUGCUUUUCUGCACCAAAUGAUGUGUAGUUGGGAGCUGUUCCAGACAGAGACAUGCUGUUCUGGGGUUUUUACUUGUAUUGCCAAUGCUCACACUCUGCCAUCCUGUAUUAAAUAAACACACUUAUCUGUUCACUCAUGUAUUAUGUGUCUUGUCACAGUCCCAUACAUCUACACAGUUGUACAGUGCUGAAGAGAAGCUACCAGGUUUCAUGUGGGAUGUGAAAGUCAGCAGAGUGAUUUAAGACGAGGUGGGGUGACUUAGCCAUCAACCUCCACACUGAGGAGUCAUACUGAAUGUGUUCCUGAAACCAACAUGUGGUUUUUACUGUGGUAACUGGUGAUACUCUGUAGAGGUUGUUUUCUUUUUAACUACCUGCAUAGACUUGUUGUCAUGGUGACACUUAUAAUGUUCCAAAAUAUCAAGGGAAAUCCAAACCACAAAACAAUGCAAAGUACAAAGUAGUCAAAUUAGAUUUAAAACUCAACUAAUAGCCUAAAGAUGGAGGACAUGACAUUACACUCAGUUCACAGCCUGCAGAAGAUCAUAGAAACUGUUAGUUACUCCAGAAGGUUGAAUUGGUUGAUCUUGAAUCUCGUCAUAGAUAUGAGUCUGCGAAGAAAAUAUGGAAUGUGUAAAACCAGUUCAAUUUAGUUCACCAACAUGGCAAAAGGGUUAGAAGACGUUUAGACAAAUUUGAUGUCACGUUGUACUCAAAUGGGCUUCACCUGUUAGUGAAUUACAUAGUUGUGUUUUAUUGAAUCCUUACCAUUCCAACAGGCGUCUGCUGUUCUCCUUCUAUAGGCAAAGAGGGAC